Transfer RNA from Felis catus (domestic cat), 85 nucleotides. It matches the Rfam family "tRNA". Rfam says of the family: Transfer RNA (tRNA) molecules are approximately 80 nucleotides in length. Their secondary structure includes four short double-helical elements and three loops (D, anti-codon, and T loops). The record is from Rfam. NCBI's taxonomy places the organism in Eukaryota, Metazoa, Chordata, Mammalia, Carnivora, Felidae.
GCCUGGGUGGCUCAGUCGGUUGGGCGUCUGACUUCGGCUCAGGUCAUGGUCUCGCAGUCUGUGAGUUCGAGCCUCGCGUCGGGCU